RNAcentral lists this long non-coding RNA (9009 nucleotides) under Olea europaea (common olive). Its description in RNAcentral is "long non-coding RNA (OEUR_LNC005896)". Lineage: Eukaryota; Viridiplantae; Streptophyta; Magnoliopsida; Lamiales; Oleaceae. The record is from RNAcentral.
CUGCGCCAAAGAAACUAUUGAGCUUGGGGGUUUCACUACCCAAAAAAAAAAAAAGAAAAAAAAAAACCUUCUUUUCUCACAGUAACAUGACAUGCACAAAAUAUUUGAUAUUUAAGAAUCAGAAAAACAGAACAAUUAGCUCUUUCACUUCAGCUGAGGGCUUUCCCCUUUGUCAUAGGAAAAGAAACAAUUUCAAAAUAUAUCCCCAUCGCCUAGCAUAAUCUUAAGCUAAUAGAAAUGAAACCUACCUCCUAUCACAUUUAAGUAAUUGCAUAAAUGAAAAUCUCUCAGCAUUGAGCACCAAAAGUGAUUUUGACAAAAUAAUCACAUUAUACAGACUUGUAAUGAAUAUGGGAGAAGUUGCCCAAUGAAACUUGAAACAAAUCUCUAGUUUUUUUAUUCAAUAAUCAUCAACCAUAGGGCCCUGUCAGUGUGCAAUGAGGCAGGUACCAGAAGAGGUCAACAAGCUGUUCUUGGAUUGAUAAUUCAUUAAAUUUUGACUGGGCCCCAAUGUUACUCAACUUGAGGGAUCAUUAUUACGUCUCUAUGCAAAUAUGUAAAUCAAUAAAGCAAAUGGAGAGUCUAUAACAGCAUCAUCCUAAACGAACUCUCCUAAUCAUUGUGAAUGCUCUGUUGAAGCAACAUCCCAUUAUUGAUAGAAUGAGAUUAAAUAUAACUAUACAAGCACAACAUUUAAUAUAUUUCUGUCGUUACUUUACGCUGCAUUUGUUCAUCACAGGAAUUGACGUAGGCAAAUGCUUAGGCCAUCAACCACCUUAGAGGUGAAAAGUACCACCGUACUUGCUAAAUGAAUACAGUGACCAAGAAAUUGAAAUUCUAAAGAUGCAUCUAAAUAGGUUGCUGCAAACACAGGUUAGCUCUUACUUCUAAUGGUUGCACCAGUCCAGUAUGCUGUUUUUCAAUUAUUUUUUUAUUUUUUAUUUUUUAUUGUUGAUAAGCCCAAAGCAAGGAUAGCUACAGAGUCCCAAAAUACAAAAUGCUACUAAGCAGGUUAAAGAAAGGUUAUUUCAAGUUCAAGGCACUUUUCCUCUGAGACAGGAGGCACUUUGAUGCCUGGGCCUUAAAUAAAUCAAUAAAAAAAAAAAAAAAAAAAUCAGUACUUACAGAAGUACAAAAUUAUACUAAUAAACAAAAACCAUAACUAUCUACAAAUUCAUAUUACAUGGUAAAAGGUUUCAACAGCAUUAAAAGUCUAAUUUGCAACUCAAAAAUUAAAAUGGUUCAUCAAAGAGUUCAAAUAAUAAAUUAAAAAAAUGUAGCAAUCACAUAACAGGAACCCUUAAUCCACAACAUAAAUUAACAAAUUGUUCAAGAGUUUUGUUUGCUUUGAUGUUAAAAAAGAAAUAAACAAGAGAAAAGUUAAGAACAAAAAGAGUAAAUAUAAAAGAAGAAAAGGAUUGAGUUACAUUCACUAGGCCUCUAGCAACCGCUGUUUACCCCGGUAAGUUGCAACUUCAGUUAGAAGGGUUUCUUGCACUUCAAUGGUACGAGGCUAUGCACGCUACGUCAACUUGUUCUGUUUUCUAUACUCUAAUUCUAUUUUUCUAGUUUGCAGGGUGAGAUGGUGUUGGAAAAAAAAAUUCCUAAAACCCUCCAAGCAUUCUAAGGCACGAAAGUAUCAACCCAAAAAAGCUAAGGAAAAAAAUGAAAAUCCCCAAAAGGGCAAGACUAGCAAAUCCACACUCAGUCGUCUCAAGGCUCAAGUCUUGACAAUGAGACUCAAAGGGUAAUCUUUGAGGUGAUUAAUAAAGGCCUCGAGGGAGGACAGCUCUACCAAGUGACUCAUUUGGUAAAAAAAAAACUCAUCGUUCCAUUGCUUAUAAACAAAAGGGCUGAUCUAAGGAAAAUAAAGCUUCGAAGUUACCAGAUUUCAUAUCCACCCUCUCCACCCUUCCAUAUCUUCUGAAAAGACGUUCAACAUCAGACUGGCGAGCAUCAAAGUCCAGGUUACCACAAAAGAUUGGCAUUGGGUUCCUGCACGAUAAUAAUCUUCAAUCUCAAAUUAAGGAUUUUUGGACGUAAACAAUCUUCAUCUAGAGAUACCUCUAAUCACAAGCAAAUAAAACUCGUGGAAUAAGAUCUCGAACUGGCACACAGAAAAAAACAAUUGGACUUUUGUUUGGGAAUAAACUCUUGGAAUCACAUCUCGCAUUCCCAAACAAAAACCAUAAAGAAACAAUACCAUUUUUCCAGAAAGACAUGACAUAUAAACAGAUGUCUCCCCUUGCUUCCAACUAUUGAUAUAAAUUCUUUUAAAAAAAAAAAAACAUAUGUGUGUGUGUGUAUUUGCUAAGGAAACAAGUUUAUCUCUUUCUUUCCUUUUUCCAGCAAUCUUUCUGAUUGUUAUGCUUCUCUUUAUUCUCCGUUGUCCAGGGAAACAUCAAAUUUAGCAUUCUAUAAAUCUCAAAUCAACAACUUAAAGGUCAGUUUUUAGACAUUCGCUCAUGUCAGUAUAUCAGUCCUCCCCCUUUUUCCAUAACUAUUCCAUGCACAGAUUUCCGUGGAUAAUGUAAAAGAAAAUAAUAUUAAUUGUCUCAACAAUAAAUUAUGAAACAGGAGUACAUCAAAUUAAAUAAAGAGAAGCUGUAACAGUUCAAAAAGAAUCUUCAGAAAACAUUGAAAACUAAAAACCAAAUAUAAUAUUAGCUAAGCUUAAAACUAACUAUAAGUAACUUUUUGUUUCGGUUUCCACAAAUAAAUUUUAUUACUGUAAAAAUAAAAAUAAAUAAAUAAAGUAACCUACUUUUAAUUUUGAUCGAUAAUAAAAAUUACUUAUUUACGCCUUUUCGCUAAAGUUACAGAAUACCUCUGUUGAGCUUGACAAAAUAAAGAGUUAAAUUCAAACCAAAAUCAGACGCAGUAGCGUGAGAGAAAUAAAUCAGAUCUGAGAAAAUAUGUGUUCAAUGCAUACAUAAAUACAUGCCCACACAUAAUUUAUUCAAACAGAUUAUAAUAGAGAGAAGAAUUUGAAAUUCUUACACUGAAGCCUUUACAGAGUGGAGUAAAACCCUAGACAGAGACAGAGUCUGAACACUUGGGCAGAAGAAACGAAAAUUUUGAAUUAGAUCAUAAAACGACAGAGUUUGGCUUCCCAUCUCAAAUUGGUUAAAAGUUGUUGAGGGUGGGCUUUAGAGAUUUGGGCUAUCCAAACCCCAGUGUGGCUUGGCUAGACAACUUACAAAAAAUAUAUUUAAAAUAUUUUGAAAGUAAAAAUUAUUUGUAAAAUUAAUUGUCACUUUUUUAAUAUGAAAGAUAAAAAAAAAAAAGAGACACAAUGUCUCAUUUUAAAAUUAAGUGUCACUUAUUUUAUUAAAAAAUUACAUACAAUGCCAAUUUAUUAAAAGGUAAUGUUUGUCACUCAAAAACGUGAAAGAAAGUGGCAAAAAUUCAAAAAAUAUAAAAAUAAAAAUAGUGACAAAUUAAAAAAGGUGACACAAAUUAAAAAAAUAAAAAAAUGACAAACACUCAAAUAAAGUGACAAACACCAAAAUGAUGAUUGCCCUUAAACAUUCACGUGGGUGAUCGCCCAGUGUAAAAUCAAUGACAUUAGUAACUUUGUUAAAAAAGAAAAGGAAAAAAAAAAAAGAGUAGUGAAAUUGCGUCAAUUUCCAUUCAGAAAAGUGAUAGUGUCACAUUUUAUUAAAAGAGUGAAAUUUUAAAAUUUGUUAUAAAAGUGAAGAAAAGAGAAGAGAACAAAGAGAAGUCAGUAGAUUUGUGUGUGUUUUAUUAAGAACCAAAGCCCUGUAUUUAUAGGGCGGAAUCAGGGAUACAAUAGUAAUUAUUUCUAUGGCUGUAGGGGUAUAAUUGUCAUUCACCUCUAAACCAUUAUAAACUUUCCGUUUACAACACUCCCCUUUGAAUGACAUAUUACAAAAUAUUUGUCUCGUUAAAAUUUUGUUUGAUAAAAAUCCAAUGAAAAAAACCAAAUGAAAGAAAAAGAGUACAGUUAAUUUUGAGUAUUAAAAAAAAAAUACUACCUCGUUAAAAUCUUGCUAGGAAAACCUAGUGGAACAAAACCUAAGUUAAGGAAAAAGAGUACAGCUACUCCCCCUGAUAUUGAUUACUGAAAAUCUUUGAAUCGAUGCAUUCCAAUCUUAUGGACUAAUUUCUUGAAUGUAGAUGUUGGCAGUGUUUUUGUGAAUAAAUCGGUCACAUUGUCACUUGAGCGAAUUUGUUGGAUAUCAAUGUCGACAUUCUUUGAAACUCGUGUGUAUGAAAGAAUUUUGGAGAAAUGUGUUCCGUCCCGUCACCUUUGAUAUAGCCUCCUCUGAGUUGUGCAAUACAAGCUGCAUUGUCUUCAUACAAAAUAGUUGGACUGUCCUUUAUUGAAAUUAAUCCGCAUGAUGCUUGGAUAUGAUGAAUCAUGUUUCUCAACCAUACACAUUCUCAGCCUGCUUCAUUGAAGAUGUUGCUAUUGAGGAUUGUUUCACAGAUUUCCAUGAUUUAGUCAUUCCUCCAUGUGUAAACAUAUAAUCUGUUUGUGAUUUAACUUUAUGUGGGUAAGAUAAAUAGCAUGCAUCUGCAUAUCCCACUAAAGCAGAUCCCGACGUUUGAAAAUAAAAUAAUCUCAAAUCAAUGGUACCCUUUAAGUAACGAAAAAUAUGUUUAACGUCAUUCCAAUGUCUUUGAGUUGGUGUAGAGCUAUAUUUUGCAAGGAGAUUUACAAAGAAAACUAUGUCAGGUCGAGUGCAAUUUGUAAAAUAAGUUAAUGCUCCAAUUGCACUAAGAUAUGGUACUUCAGGACUAAGAACAUUUUCAUCAUCUUCAAGUGGACGAAAUUGAUCUUUUUCACAUCAAGUGAUCGAACAACCAUAGGUGAUGCCAAUGGAUGUGCAUUAUCCAUGUAAAAACAUUUUAAAACUUUUUCUGUAUACGUAGAUUGGUGAACAAAUAAUCCAUCUGCGAAAUGUUCAAUCUGUAAUCGAAGACAAAAUUUGGUUUUUCCCAAAUCUUUCGUCUAAAAUUCAUUUUUCAAAUAAUCAGCAGUUUUGUUGAGCUCUUCAGGAGUUCCAAUUAAAUUUAAAUCAUCAACAUAAACUACCACAAUUGCAAAUCCACUAUUUGUUUUCUUUAUGAAAACACAUGGACAGAUAUCGUCAUUUUUAUGACCCUCAUUAAACAAAUAUUCGUUAAGGCGAUUAUACCAUAUGCGUUUGAAUUAUUUUAAUCCAUAUAAUGAUCUUUACAAUUUAAUUGAGAACAUGGUUCUCAGGCAUGUAUCGUUUGUUCCUGGCACCUUAAGUCCUUUAAAGACUUUCAUAUAUAUGUCACUAUCAAGUGAACCAUAUAAAUAUGCAGUUACUACAUCCAUAAUACAUACUAUCAAGUUUUUGUGACACAGUCAAACUAAUUAAAAAUCUAAAAGUGAUGGUGUCCAUUAUGAGAGAAUAUGUUUUUUUAUAAUCAAUUCCUGGUCUUUGUGAGAAACCUUGAGCUAUUAGUCCGACUUUGUACCUUGUAAUUUCAUUAUUUUUAUUCCUCUUUCGUACAAAAAUCCAUUUGUAUCAAACAGGAAUUACAUUUUCAAGUGUUCGAACUACAGGUCCAAACACUUUUCGUUUCUCCAAAGAAUUUAAUUUCGCCUAUAUGGCUUUUUUCUAUUUUAGCUAAUUAUUUCUAUUUUGACAAUCUUUAACCGAUUGUGGCUCAGGAUCCUCAUUUUGCAUAAUAUCAAGAGCCAUAUUAAAGAUGAAAAUAUUGUAUAUAAUAACAUUAUUUCGUUCCCAUAAUUUAUAAGAUAGUAUAUAAUUUAUUGAAAUCUCAUUAUUUUCGGAUACUUGUGGUUCUUCGGGAACUAUAUUUUCAAUAUUUGAUUGAUUAAUCUUUUCUAAUGUGAUUUCUUCCGAAGUUUUUGGUUGGUUUUUCUCAUGUCAUUUUCGUAUAAGUGUAUACCAUUAGAUUUUCGGAUUACAAGUCCAAAAAUUUCGUGUUUAUUUAGUAAAUUCAAUUUAAGAUUGUGUCUCCUUUUAUUUGGUCAAACAUUAUUUUGAUCGAUAUUUUUCGAUGUAUUUAUUUCAAUUCCUCACGAUUCACAUAUGAUACUGUCUAUCAUAGUGACAUAACUUAUUUAGAUAUAUCAAUUUUCAACAUGUUAGGUAUCUAAACUUCUUUUGGAGUUUUAUAAUUUGUUAUAUCUAAAUAUUCAUUAAGAAUAAAUGUCUUCUUAAUGAAAUCAUCUUUGCUAAUUGCUCCAUUUUCAUUUGAAGGUUUUUGUAUUUGAAUCGAACACUAUCACGCUUCAGGCGUGCCAUAAAUAUAUCAAAUAUAAUGUUAACAAAUUAUCCCCUAAGACAUCAAUUCGUAUUGGAGCAUUGAAAAUUGGUGUGUGAGAUACUGUUGAUCUCUUUGAUCAAUAAAUGUAUCUAAAUAAAUUAUCUUUCGAACUUUUGGUUCGAAUGAUAUUUAAUGAGGAUUUAGAUGACGAUGCAUUUAUAUAUUAUUUUCAACUUCUUAAUUCCUCCCCUAAUACUUAGAGAAUUGUCCAAUCAAAUUAACAAUCAUUUUUUCAGUAUUAUAAAAUAUCGUCCAUUUGAAAUAAUAGUGCAAACUACGUACUUAUUCUCAGCAUUCUUUAUUUUUCAUCUCAAUAUAUUAUGGUGUUCAAUUGUUACAUAUACUACACCAUAAAAAAUAAUUAGAUGAAAAAAUUAGGAUCUGACAAUAAGCUGAUUAUAACUGGAAGAACUGUGAUUUUAGUAUGAUGUGCAAUAGAAUUCCCUAAAUAAAAAUGGGAAAUAAAUUAUUCUCAAUAAAAUUAAUUUGAUGCAUUUAACAAACAAUAGUAUUAAACCAUUUAUCGACAUCUUAAUUAACACUUAUUAAAAUAUUGAGAUAUAUACUCACUAGCAUUAACAAGACACGGUCUUGAUUAUAUAAUCUGAAAAUUAUGCUCAUAACUUGAGCAAUAAUUUCACAAAACUUCAAGUUGCGUAUUGCAAUCAUCUAAUAUUUGUGUCAAAUCUGUUAGAUACAAAUAAUAUUUAAAUGGUUAACAUGAUGGGUGACGAGGCUCCAUAUAUUACUCUAAUUAAUUUUCAGAAAUAUAGGGAAUUCAAUCCAUAUUUUAGCUAGCGUUGUUUAAUGAUCAUAAAGAGAACAAAUAAUAUAUAGGAAUUCUUUGGAUUGAAAAAUCUUUUGAUUCUUCAUUUAAUAUCCAUUAAAAAUUUUGAACUUCACAUCAUUAUUGAUCCAGUGAUGGUCCAACUGGUCAUGCCAAAUAAUAAAAUCAAAUUGAACUUCUGGUUCAAUAUAAUAUAUAAUUCAAUUGUUUAAUUUCGAAUAAUAUGAUUAAAUAUUAUAUAAUCAUAUAUAAUUGAAGUAGUCGAACUAAUUAAUAUUCUAAUGACAUUAAUUAUAUGUUUUUCUUCAAGGAUAAACAUGAAUUUAAAGUAAUAUAUUUUUCGAAACAUAUGUGUGUGUGUGUGUGUGUAUAUAUAUAUAUAUAUAUAUAUUACUCAUUCAAAAGUAAUAUGUCAAUAUUCUUGCGCCAAAGAAACUAUUGAGCUUGGGGGUUUCACUACCCAAAAAAAAAAAAAGAAAAAAAAAGGAAAAAAAAAACCUUCUUUUCUCACAGUAACAUGACAUGCACAAAAUAUUUGAUAUUUAAGAAUCAGAAAAACAGAACAAUUAGCUCUUUCACUUCAGCUGAGGGCUUUCCCCUUUGUCAUAGGAAAAGAAACAAUUUCAAAAUAUAUCCCCAUCGCCUAGCAUAAUCUUAAGCUAAUAGAAAUGAAACCUACCUCCUAUCACAUUUAAGUAAUUGCAUAAAUGAAAAUCUCUCAGCAUUGAGCACCAAAAGUGAUUUUGACAAAAUAAUCACAUUAUACAGACUUGUAAUGAAUAUGGGAGAAGUUGCCCAAUGAAACUUGAAACAAAUCUCUAGUUUUUUUAUUCAAUAAUCAUCAACCAUAGGGCCCUGUCAGUGUGCAAUGAGGCAGGUACCAGAAGAGGUCAACAAGCUGUUCUUGGAUUGAUAAUUCAUUAAAUUUUGACUGGGCCCCAAUGUUACUCAACUUGAGGGAUCAUUAUUACGUCUCUAUGCAAAUAUGUAAAUCAAUAAAGCAAAUGGAGAGUCUAUAACAGCAUCAUCCUAAACGAACUCUCCUAAUCAUUGUGAAUGCUCUGUUGAAGCAACAUCCCAUUAUUGAUAGAAUGAGAUUAAAUAUAACUAUACAAGCACAACAUUUAAUAUAUUUCUGUCGUUACUUUACGCUGCAUUUGUUCAUCACAGGAAUUGACGUAGGCAAAUGCUUAGGCCAUCAAUGACCUUAGAGGUGAAAAGUACCACCGUACUUGCUAAAUGAAUACAGUGACCAAGAAAUUGAAAUUCUAAAGAUGCAUCUAAAUAGGUUGCUGCAAACACAGGUUAGCUCUUACUUCUAAUGGUUGCACCAGUCCAGUAUGCUGUUUUUCAAUUAUUUUUUUAUUUUUUAUUUUUUAUUGUUGAUAAGCCCAAAGCAAGGAUAGCUACAGAGUCCCAAAAUACAAAAUGCUACUAAGCAGGUUAAAGAAAGGUUAUUUCAAGUUCAAGGCACUUUUCCUCUGAGACAGGAGGCACUUUGAUGCCUGGGCCUUAAAUAAAUCAAUAAAAAAAAAAAAAAAAAAUCAGUACUUACAGAAGUACAAAAUUAUACUAAUAAACAAAAACCAUAACUAUCUACAAAUUCAUAUUACAUGGUAAAAGGUUUCAACAGCAUUAAAAGUCUAAUUUGCAACUCAAAAAUUAAAAUGGUUCAUCAAAGAGUUCAAAUAAUAAAUUAAAAAAAUGUAGCAAUCACAUAACAGGAACCCUUAAUCCACAACAUAAAUUAACAAAUUGUUCAAGAGUUUUGUUUGCUUUGAUGUUAAAAAAGAAAUAAACAAGAGAAAAGUUAAGAACAAAAAGAGUAAAUAUAAAAGAAGAAAAGGAUUGAGUUACAUUCACUAGGCCUCUAGCAACCGCUGUUUACCCCGGUAAGUUGCAACUUCAGUUAGAAGGGUUUCUUGCAC